UUAGUGGCGGACGGGUGAGUAACGCGUGGAUAACCUGCCGUAUACCGGGGGAUAACACUUAGAAAUAGGUGCUAAUACCGCAUAAGCGCACGGCUCCGCAUGGGGCAGUGUGAAAAAUUCCGGUGGUAUACGAUGGAUCCGCGUCUGAUUAGCUAGUUGGCGGGGUAACGGCCCACCAAGGCAGCGAUCAGUAGCCGGCCUGAGAGGGUGGACGGCCACAUUGGGACUGAGACACGGCCCAAACUCCUACGGAAGGCAGCAG
This 262-nucleotide ribosomal RNA is filed under the name uncultured bacterium. Its description in RNAcentral is "partial 16S ribosomal RNA". It matches the Rfam family "Bacterial small subunit ribosomal RNA", at positions 92 to 354 of the family's 1533-position model. The record is from RNAcentral.